GAUCAUGGCUCAGGAUAAACGCUGGCGGCGCACAUAAGACAUGCAAGUCGAACGGAAGCCGUUAUAAAAAGGAUUGAAGAUUUAUCUGAUUGAGAUUUUAUAACAAUGGCUUUAGUGGCGGACUGGUGAGUAACGCGUGAGCAACCUGCCUACUAGAGGGGAAUAACAGUGAGAAAUCAUUGCUAAUACCGCAUAUGCCAUGAACAUCACAUGAUGAAAAUAGGG
This 225-nucleotide ribosomal RNA is filed under the name uncultured bacterium. RNAcentral's name for it is "partial 16S ribosomal RNA". It matches the Rfam family "Bacterial small subunit ribosomal RNA", at positions 15 to 203 of the family's 1533-position model. The record is from RNAcentral.